AAUUAUCUUUGAUCAAUUGGUUCCCCGGUUGCGAGGCGCUUUCGGGGAGUAAAUGGGAACGUGACGGGUGGACCCAUUCUGGGCACUUUCAUCACGGCCGACCCCGCGACUGUAGAGCGGUCAGCGUUUUUCGUUCCGGAUGAUCGCAUCCGGGAAAAGCCACUGAGGCAAGGACACCGCGAGAUUGCGGCGAUCCGAGACUUGGGAAGGCGAGAGAAACGUCUUGGUGUGCAAGCACCUGACGCCGCGAGCCAGGAAACCUGCCGGUUGAUGAGGGGCAUU
Molecule: non-coding RNA, 282 nt
Filed under: Rhizobium sp.
Lineage: Bacteria; Pseudomonadati; Pseudomonadota; Alphaproteobacteria; Hyphomicrobiales; Rhizobiaceae
Also listed under: 1 other name
Source: RNAcentral